Molecule: ribosomal RNA, 253 nt
Filed under: uncultured bacterium
Lineage: Bacteria
Description: partial 16S ribosomal RNA
Rfam family: Bacterial small subunit ribosomal RNA
Source: RNAcentral
UACAGAGGUGGCAAGCGUUGUUCGGAAUUACUGGGCGUAAAGGGCGCGUAGGCGGCCUUCUAAGUCAGACGUGAAAUCCCCCGGCUUAACCUGGGAACUGCGUCUGAUACUGGGAGGCUAGAGUGCGGGAGAGGGAUACGGAAUUCCAGGUGUAGCGGUGAAAUGCGUAGAUAUCUGGAGGAACACCGGUGGCGAAGGCGGCAUCCUGGACCGACACUGACGCUGAGGCGCGAAAGCUAGGGUAGCAAACGGG